GUUGAAUGAAGUUUUCAGAAAGAACUACAAAUCCUAUGAACCACUGCGCGGCCGCUCCAUUGCGUCAUCAGAGUGCGUGAGCGGGAGCACGAAAGUGGCAGUGAGAAACACAUCUAAACACUGAUAUCAAAUCAAACAUCACUGUUGGUGUCAGGAUGGCUUCAGAUGAUGUGGCUCGACUCGCCGACUCGCUGGCUAAAACUCAAGUCAAUGAGGGAGAACUGAGUUAUAAAGGACAGGGACUUAAACUGGACAAUGCACAGUCUGUGGAGCAGAUGGUGAAGGAGAUCGAGGAGUUUGAUGGUUUGCGUGCGCUCAGACUGGAGGGAAACACUAUCGGUGUGGAGGCGGCACAAACCAUCGCCAAAGCCCUGCAGAAUAAGAGUGACCUGCAGUGUUGUCACUGGAGUGAUAUGUUCACCGGCCGCCUGCGUGCUGAGAUUCCCCCCGCACUGGUGUCUCUGGGUGAUGCGUUAAUCACAGCUGGAGCUCGUCUGAAGAUACUGGACCUGAGUGACAACGCUUUUGGACCUGAUGGAGUGAGAGGCAUUGAGAAGCUGCUCAAGAGCGCCGCCUGCCACACGCUGCAGGAACUGCGCCUGAACAACUGUGGAAUGGGCAUCGGUGGAGGAAAGAUCCUGGCCGCGGCUCUGACGGAGUGUCAUAAGGAAUCGAGCGCGCUCAGCGCCCCCUUGCAGCUGAAGGUGUUCAUUGCAGGCAGGAACAGACUGGAGAAUGACGGUGCCACAGCGCUGGCACAAGCCUUUCAGCUGAUUGGCAGUCUGGAGGAAGUGCACAUGCCCCAGAAUGGCAUCAAUUACCCAGGAGUCUCUGCUUUAGCCACAGCGAUGCAGCACAACCCGCAGCUGCGAGUGAUCAACCUCAAUGACAACACGUUUACCAAGAGAGGAGCUGUCGCAAUGGCACAGGCACUGAAACAUCUACGCAACGUUCAGGUGAUCAACUUUGGUGAUUGUCUCGUUCGGUCAGAAGGAGCUGUUGCCAUCGCAGAUGCCCUGAGAGAAGGACUGCCGAUACUGAAGGAAUUGAAUCUGUCGUUUGGGGAGAUCACUGAAGAUGCUGCUCUGGAAGUCGCUCGAUCUGUGCACAACAAAGAUCAGUUUGAAAAACUCGACCUGAACGGUAACAGUCUGGGUGAAGAAGGUUGUGACAAUCUGAGAGAGGUCAUGGAGAGCAUGAACAUGGGCGAGAAACUGGGAUCUCUGAGUGAUGACGAGGGAGAGCCAGAGGAAGAUGAUGAAGAAGACGACGAUGAGGAGGAUGACGAUGAUGAAGAUGUGGAGGAGGAAGAAGAAGAGGAGGGAGAGGAGAGCGAAUCAAAUCAGUUUUCAACGCCGCCCUCAGCUCCUCGUCCUCCAGACGUCUCGUCUUUCCUGAGUUUUCCGUCUCCAGACAAACUGCUGCGACUUGGUGCGAAGAGAAGCUUCCUCAUCCAACAGCAGGUGGACGUGUUGGAUGUGGGUAAAACAGCAGAAGUGUUUCUGAAGAUCUCCUCUGUGUAUAAAGAGGAAGACACUGAGGUGAAAUCAGCCGUGUUGGAGAGUAUCGAUGCAGUGUUGAGUAAAGCUUUCUCCACACCAUCAUUCCAGGGUUUGAGUUUUAUUUCAUCGCUGCUGGUGAUGCUCGGAUUGUUGAAGGUAAAAACGUUUAGCGUGUUUAGACUGGUAGCUGACGUAGUUGGCAAAAAGAUGUCAUGAAAGCCACCUCAAAAACAUGAUUGGAGCACAGAGAGAAGUUAAGGAGAAGGUUGCUCCUUAAAGAAUUCAAGUAAACGCUUAUGCCAAUGUCAACUCUUAUUUGUCUUGUUAUUUUGUUUGGACUCAAGCGUGGUUAUUAAAGGGAUAAUGAACAUUCUCUCAUUCACCCAAAAAUGAACAUUCUCUCAUCAUUUACUCACCCUCAUGCCAUCCCAGAUGUGUAUGACUUUCUUUCUUCUGCAGAACACAAAUGAAGAUUUUUAGAAGAAUAUUUCAGCUCUGUAGGUCCAUACAAUGCAAGUGAAUGGUGACCAGAAAUUUGAAGCUCCAAAGAUCACAUAAAACCAGUAUAAAAGUAAUCCAUUUGUUUCCCGUGGUUUAAUCCAUGUCUUCAGAAGCGAUAUGAUAGAUCAGAUGUGAAAUAGGAGAUUUAUAGGAUAAAAAACAAGGACUUAAAUAUUGAUCUGUUUCUCACCCACACCUAUCGUAUCACUUCUGAAGACAUGGAUUUAAUCACUUGAUUACUUUUAUGCUGCCUUUAUGUGCUUUUUGGAGCUUGAUCUUCAUUUGUGUUCUGCAGAAGAAAGAAAGUCAUACACAUCUGGGAUGACAUGAGGAUGAGUAAAUGAUGAGAGAAUGUUCAUUUUUGGGUGAACUAUCCCUUUAAAUUCACAUUAGUGAGUGAAGAUAAGCUGAAGCCGGUGAAAGUCGUCCCAGGUCACCUACAGUGUCUGGAACAUGCAGUAAAACAGAGUUAUUUCCCCCGAGAAAACAUCACUGUCCUGAAUGCUUUCAUGGCCAG
This is an RNA transcript of Myxocyprinus asiaticus (Chinese sucker), 2520 nucleotides long. It is a transcript of the gene named ran GTPase-activating protein 1-like, with no coding region annotated. The record is from RefSeq and is a predicted model, not a curated record. The transcript is spliced from 15 exons. NCBI's taxonomy places the organism in Eukaryota, Metazoa, Chordata, Actinopteri, Cypriniformes, Catostomidae.